RNAcentral lists this ribosomal RNA (450 nucleotides) under uncultured bacterium. Its description in RNAcentral is "partial 16S ribosomal RNA". It matches the Rfam family "Bacterial small subunit ribosomal RNA", at positions 354 to 796 of the family's 1533-position model. The record is from RNAcentral.
GUGGGGAAUAUUGGACAAUGGGCGAAAGCCUGAUCCAGCCAUGCCGCGUGUGUGAAGAAGGUCUUCGGAUUGUAAAGCACUUUAAGUUGGGAGGAAGGGCAGUAAGUUAAUACCUUGCUGUUUUGACGUUACCGACAGAAUAAGCACCGGCUAACUUCGUGCCAGCAGCCGCGGUAAUACGAAGGGUGCAAGCGUUAAUCGGAAUUACUGGGCGUAAAGCGCGCGUAGGUGGUUUUGUAAGUUGGAGGUGAAAUCCCCGGGCUCAACCUGGGAACUGCCUCCACAACUGCAUGACUAGAGUACGGUAGAGGGUAGUGGAAUUUCCUGUGUAGCGGUGAAAUGCGUAGAUAUAGGAAGGAACACCAGUGGCGAAGGCGACUACCUGGACUGAUACUGACACUGAGGUGCGAAAGCGUGGGGAGCAAACAGGAUUAGAUACCCCAGUAGUCC